CUAUGGGGUCUCUAUGGGGUCCCAUUGGGUUCUAUGGGGUCUUAUGGGGUCUCUAUGGGGUUCUAUGGGGUCCCAUUGGGUUCUAUGGGGCCCUAUUGGGUUCUAUGGGGUCUUAUGGGGUCCCAUUGAGUUCUAUGGGGUUCUAUGGGGUCCUAUUGGGUUCUAUGAGGUCUUAUGGGGUCUCCAUGGGGUUCUAUUGGGUUCUAUGGGGUUUUAUGAUGUUCUAUGGGGUCUCUAUGGGGUCCCNNNNNNNNNNNNNNNNGGGUUCUAUGGGGUCUUAUGGGGUCUCUGUGGGGUCUUAUGGGGUCUCUAGGGGGUUUUAUGGGGUCUUAUGGGGUCUCAAUGGGGUCCCAUUGGGUUCUAUGGGGGUUUAUGGGGUUCUAUGGAGUCUCUAUGGGGUCCCAUUGGGUUCUAUGGGGUCCUAUGGGGGGCCAUUGGGUUCUAUGGGGUUUUAUGGGGUCCCAUUGGGUUCUAUGGGGUUUUAUGGGGUCCUAUGGGGUCCCAUUGGAUUCUAUGGGGUCUUAUGGGGUCUCAAUGGGGUCCCAUUGGGUUCUAUGGGGUCCUAUGGGGGGCCAUUGGGUUCUAUGGCGGCUUAUGGGGUCUCUGUGGGGUCCCAUUGGGUUCUAUGGGGUCCCAUUGGGUUCUAUGGGGUUUUAUGGGGUCUAUGGGGUUCUAUGGGGUCCCACUGGGUUCUAUGGGGUCUUAUGGGGUCUCUAUGGGGUCCCAUUGGGUUCUAUGGGGUCUUAUGGGGUCUUAUGGGGUCUCUCUGGGGUCCCAUUGGGUUCUAUGGGGUUUUAUGGGGUCCUAUGGGGGCCUAUGGGGUCCCAUUGGAUUCUAUGGGGUCUUAUGGGGUCUCAGUGGGGUUCUAUGGGAUCCCAUUGGGUUCUAUGGGGUCUUAUGUGGUCUCCAUGGGGUCCCAUUGGGUUCUAUGGGGUCUUAUGGGGUCUCUAUAGGGGCCUAUUGGAUUCUAUGGGGUUCUAUGGGGUCUUAUGGGGUCCCAUUGGGUUCUAUGGGGUUUCUAUGGGGUCCCAUUGGGUUCUAUGGGGUCCCAUCGGAUUCUAUGGGGUUCUAUGGGGUCUCUAUGGGGUCCCAUUGGGUUCUAUGGGGUUUUAUGGGGUCCCAUUGGGUUCUAUGGGGUUUUAUGGGGUCUUUAGGGGGUUUUGUGGGUUCUAUGGUGUUUUAUGGGGUCCCAUUGAGUUCUAUGGGGUUUUAUGGGGUCUCUAUGGGGUUCUAUGGGGUCCCAUUGGGUUCUAUGGGGUUUUAUGGGGUCCCAUUGGGUUCUAUGGGGUCCCAUUGGGUUCUAUGGAAUUUUAUGGGGUCUCUGUGGGGUUCUAUUGGGUUCUAUGGGGUUCUAUGGAGUCUCUAUGGGGUCUCUAUGGGGGGGCAUUGGGUUUUAUGGGGUUUUAUGGGGUCUCUGUGGGGUUCUAUGGGGUCCCAUUGGGU
Molecule: long non-coding RNA, 1443 nt
Filed under: Phasianus colchicus (ring-necked pheasant)
Lineage: Eukaryota; Metazoa; Chordata; Aves; Galliformes; Phasianidae
Description: lncRNA (ENSPCLG00000019061.1)
Source: RNAcentral